GGAAAGGACACAUCAGAGAACAAGGAGCAUUGUAACGGGGGACAGUUGGCAACAUCUGGAGACAUUUUUUAUUGUUACAGCUGGGGAGAUGGUGCUAUUGGAGUCCAGUGGUGUAGAGAUCAGGGAUGCUACUAAACAUCGUAUGGAAGGCAGUGUGUGGAUCUUACACAUUGUCACAUCUCCUGUCACAGUGACUUGUCAUGCAAACUCUGUUCCUUCUUUAAGCGCCAACUCAAAAGCUCUUUUGUGCAUGAUCAAGCCUUUCCUGAUGCCCUUGGUGAGAGGGGAGCUCCCCUCCCCUCAGCUCUGGCCACAGUGUAUCCGGAUGGCCACUGUCCCACUGCAGCACGUGGGCUUGUUAGCUGUGAUGGCUCCUGGAGGGCUGAGGCCACGUUCAAUGCUGUGUCUAAUUCAGCUUUGUAUCC
This 425-nucleotide long non-coding RNA is filed under the name Homo sapiens (human). Its description in RNAcentral is "HSALNT0332592". Lineage: Eukaryota; Metazoa; Chordata; Mammalia; Primates; Hominidae. The record is from RNAcentral.